Molecule: ribosomal RNA, 421 nt
Filed under: uncultured fungus
Lineage: Eukaryota; Fungi
Description: SSU rRNA
Rfam family: Eukaryotic small subunit ribosomal RNA
Source: RNAcentral
AUGCAUGUCUAAGUAUAAGCAAUUAUACCGUGAAACUGCGAAUGGCUCAUUAAAUCAGUUAUCGUUUAUUUGAUAGUACCUUACUACUUGGAUAACCGUGGUAAUUCUAGAGCUAAUACAUGCUAAAAACCCCAACUUCGGGAGGGGUGUAUUUAUUAGAUAAAAAACCAACGCCCUUCGGGGCUUCUUGGUGAUUCAUAAUAACUUUACGGAUCGCAUGGCCUUGCGCCGGCGACGGUUCAUUCAAAUUUCUGCCCUAUCAACUUUCGAUGGUAAGGUAUUGGCUUACCAUGGUUUCAACGGGUAACGGGGAAUUAGGGUUCGAUUCCGGAGAGGGAGCCUGAGAAACGGCUACCACAUCCAAGGAAGGCAGCAGGCGCGCAAAUUACCCAAUCCCGACACGGGGAGGUAGUGACAAUAA